Molecule: ribosomal RNA, 253 nt
Filed under: uncultured bacterium
Lineage: Bacteria
Description: partial 16S ribosomal RNA
Rfam family: Bacterial small subunit ribosomal RNA
Source: RNAcentral
UACAGAGGUGUCAAGCGUUGUUCGGAUUCACUGGGCGUAAAGGGUGUGUAGGUGGCGCCGUAAGUCGGGUGUGAAAUUUCGGAGCUUAACUGCGAAACUGCAUUCGAUACUGCGGUGCUUGAGGACUGGAGAGGAGACUGGAAUUCAUGGUGUAGCAGUGAAAUGCGUAGAGAUCAUGAGGAAGACCGGUGGCGAAGGCGGGUCUCUGGACAGUUCCUGACACUGAGACACGAAGGCCAGGGGAGCAAACGGG